This is a long non-coding RNA of Xenia sp. Carnegie-2017, 738 nucleotides long. RefSeq lists it as uncharacterized. The record is from RefSeq and is a predicted model, not a curated record. NCBI's taxonomy places the organism in Eukaryota, Metazoa, Cnidaria, Anthozoa, Malacalcyonacea, Xeniidae. The transcript is spliced from 2 exons.
UGAAAUAAUGAUAAAGUUAGAAGGUGUUAAUUAUGGUCUAAGCUUCUAUUGAGAAUACAUUGAAUUCGACUUUGGUGCAACAUGAUAUUAGAAAAAAUUGAAACUAAAUGGGACAGAUGAAAAGUAACUGGAAAAUUAUGUUCGUCGGAAAGUUGUCGGAAGCUACGUCAGAAAACUUUGAAGAACAGUUAAGCAUGUAUGUGAAACUGACUAAUUAGAUAGAUUUAGACUUGAGGACGCGAUGACUAAGACGACGCUAGUUGACCGAGGCGGUCUGGGCCGACGACGCCGUCGUCUUUUAUGUGAAGAGUGAUUUAGAUUAUAUGAGGAGACGACGAGUUUUUAUGAAAAGAGAACUUCAUUGUUUAUGCGAUUUUAGUGAGUCAUUUAGGAUUUGUUUCUAUUGUCGCCGAUAAUUCAAGAGAUUAUGGAGGAAAACAACACUUUAGUAGAUAAUAAUUGUUGGUUUGUUAUCCAUAGUACUGCUAACUCAUGGCAUUUGAAUAAGAUUUCCAAUGAUAAAUUGUGAGUUAUAGAUUGCUUCAUGUUGAUUGUACUAAAUAUAGCGCAAGUAUUGACAAAACAUCAUAAAAAUAGCGCACAAAACACGACACGCUUCAAUAAAAUGUAGGUGUUCUUUUUUAAAAGCUGCUUUCUCUAGUUUGGAUUAUAAUUUAACGACGACAUUGUAAAUAUAAAGAAAAAUUUAUCUAAAACAAAAUAAAAACGAAAUUAUUU